Molecule: ribosomal RNA, 497 nt
Filed under: uncultured bacterium
Lineage: Bacteria
Description: partial 16S ribosomal RNA
Rfam family: Bacterial small subunit ribosomal RNA
Source: RNAcentral
GAUGAACGCUGGCGGCGUGCCUAAUACAUGCAAGUCGAGCGAACAGACGAGGAGCUUGCUCCUCUGACGUUAGCGGCGGACGGGUGAGUAACACGUGGAUAACCUACCUAUAAGACUGGGAUAACUUCGGGAAACCGGAGCUAAUACCGGAUAAUAUAUUGAACCGCAUGGUUCAAUAGUGAAAGACGGUUUUGCUGUCACUUAUAGAUGGAUCCGCGCCGCAUUAGCUAGUUGGUAAGGUAACGGCUUACCAAGGCAACGAUGCGUAGCCGACCUGAGAGGGUGAUAGGCCACACUGGAGCGGAGACACGGUCCAGACUCCUACGGGAGGCAGCAGUAGGGAAUCUUCCGCAAUGGGCGAAAGCCUGACGGAGCAACGCCGCGUGAGUGAUGAAGGUCUUCGGAUCGUAAAACUCUGUUAUUAGGGAAGAACAAAUGUGUAAGUAACUAUGCACGUCUUGACGGUACCUAAUCAGAAAGCCACGGCUAACUACGUG